Molecule: ribosomal RNA, 512 nt
Filed under: uncultured bacterium
Lineage: Bacteria
Description: partial 16S ribosomal RNA
Rfam family: Bacterial small subunit ribosomal RNA
Source: RNAcentral
GAUGAACGCUGGCGGCGUGCCUAAUACAUGCAAGUCGAACGAAACUUCUUUAUCACCGAGUGCUUGCACUCACCGAUAAAGAGUUGAGUGGCGAACGGGUGAGUAACACGUGGGCAACCUGCCCAAAAGAGGGGGAUAACACUUGGAAACAGGUGCUAAUACCGCAUAACCAUAGUUACCGCAUGGUAACUAUGUAAAAGGUGGCUAUACUACCGCUUUUGGAUGGGCCCGCGGCGCAUUAGCUUGUUGGUAGGGUAAAGGCUUACCAAGGCAAUGAUGCGUAGCCGAAUUGAGAGGUUGAUCGGCCACAUUGGGACUGAGACACGGCCCAAACUCCUACGGGAGGCAGCAGUAGGGAAUCUUCCACAAUGGGCGAAAGCCUGAUGGAGCAACGCCGCGUGGGUGAAGAAGGUCUUCGGAUCGUAAAACCCUGUUGUUAGAGAAGAAAGUGCGUGAGAGUAACUGUUCACGUUUCGACGGUAUCUAACCAGAAAGCCACGGCUAACUACGUG